AGCGGAGGAAAAGAAACCAACAGGGAUUGCCCUAGUAACGGCGAGUGAAGCGGCAACAGCUCAAAUUUGAAAUCUGGCUUUCGGGCCCGAGUUGUAAUUUGUAGAGGAUACUUUUGAUGCGGUGCCUUCCGAGUUCCCUGGAACGGGACGCCAUAGAGGGUGAGAGCCCCGUCUGGUUGGAUGCCAAAUCUCUGUAAAGUUCCUUCGACGAGUCGAGUAGUUUGGGAAUGCUGCUCUAAAUGGGAGGUAUAUGUCUUCUAAAGCUAAAUAUUGGCCAGAGACCGAUAGCGCACAAGUAGAGUGAUCGAAAGAUGAAAAGCACUUUGAAAAGAGAGUUAAAAAGUACGUGAAAUUGUUGAAAGGGAAGCGUUUAUGACCAGACUUGGACUUGGUUAAUCAUCUGGGGUUCUCCCCAGUGCACUUUUCCAGUUCAGGCCAGCAUCAGUUUUCGCCGGGGGAUAAAGGCAGCGGGAAUGUGGCUCUCUUCGGGGAGUGUUAUAGCCCGUUGUGUAAUACCCUGGUGGGGACUGAGGUUCGCGCUUCUGCAAGGAUGCUGGCGUAAUGGUCAUCAACGACCCGUCUUGAAACACGGACCAAGGAGUCGUCUUCGUAUGCGAGUGUUCGGGUGUCAAACCCCUACGCGUAAUGAAAGUGAACGCAGGUGAGAGCUUCGGCGCAUCAUCGACCGAUCCUGAUGUUCUCGGAUGGAUUUGAGUAAGAGCAUACGGGGCCGGACCCGAAAGAAGGUGAACUAUGCCUGUAUAGGGUGAAGCCAGAGGAAACUCUGGUGGAGGCUCGCAGCGGUUCUGACGUGCAAAUCGAUCGUCAAAUAUGGGCAUGGGGGCGAAAGACUAAUCGA
Molecule: ribosomal RNA, 859 nt
Filed under: Fusarium flocciferum
Lineage: Eukaryota; Fungi; Ascomycota; Sordariomycetes; Hypocreales; Nectriaceae
Description: partial large subunit ribosomal RNA
Rfam family: Eukaryotic large subunit ribosomal RNA
Source: RNAcentral